RNAcentral lists this ribosomal RNA (433 nucleotides) under uncultured bacterium. RNAcentral's name for it is "partial 16S ribosomal RNA". It matches the Rfam family "Bacterial small subunit ribosomal RNA", at positions 29 to 507 of the family's 1533-position model. The record is from RNAcentral.
AACGAACGCUGGCGGCAUGCCUAACACAUGCAAGUCGAACGAGACCUUCGGGUCUAGUGGCGCACGGGUGCGUAACGCGUUGGAACCUGCCCUUAGGUUCGGAAUAACUCCCCGAAAGGGGUGCUAAUACCGGAUAAUGUCUUCGGACCAAAGAUUUAUCGCCUUUGGAUGGGCCCGCGUUGGAUUAGCUAGUUGGUAGGGUAAAAGCCUACCAAGGCGACGAUCCAUAGCUGGGCUGAGAGGAUGAUCAGCCACACUGGGACUGAGACACGGCCCAGAAUCCUACGGGAGGCGGCAGUGGGGAAUAAUGGACAAAGGGAGAAAGACUGAUACAGCAAAGCAGCGUGAAUGAUGAAGGCGUUAGGGUUGUAAAGCAAUUUUACCAGGGAUGAUAAUGACAGUACCGGGAGAAUAAGAUCCGGCUAACUCCGUG